UGAAUCCCCGAGCUGACAGGGUAAAAAAUCUGUCAUUCUGCCCCUGAACAAGGCAGUUAACCCUCUGUUCCCCGGUAGGCCGUCAUUGUCAAUAAGAAUUUGUUCUUAACCGACUUGCUUAGUUAAAUAAAGGUUACAUUUAAAAAAACAUUUUUUUUUAUUACCUUUCCCUCAUGGUAUUUGUAGUUCUUUAUGAUAGCCACAUUAGCAGCUAAUUAGCAUCAAUUUUUUUGGGGGGUAAACACAGGCGAAUAUAUUGAUAAAAGUCACCUUGUCCGAGAGAGAGAAACAUGGUUAUCAAAACAUUAAAUCAGGGUAAGUCUACAUGAAACACAGCCCUUAUUUGAAGUGUUUCUAAAAUCCCCUGUGGGGCAAAAUGAAUGGUGGAAAAACUAUUGGAACCAUUUCCCUGUUUGACUGCUAAGUUUUAUGUGUAUUAUGACUCAUACUCGUAGUCUAUGGAGGACUGCUUUUCUGAGUGCUAAUAUGGCCGACAGUGCCAAUAUGGCCGACAGUAGCAUACAGUAGCAUCAGCAAUCCAGGGUUUAUAUACGUCAUUGGGAGGGAUUCAGUGCUUCCAGGUGGAUAGAGAAAAAAUGGGCAAUCUGGGAUUGGUACAUUCAUUUUGUUGCUGUUUGAAUCCCAGAUUUCCCCUUUAAUGGGAUGUGGUUGAGGUAUGGGAAUGUUUUAGAUAGGUUCAUAGAUACGCAUGUCCAGUAGAUACUGUACAUCAGGGCUAUUCAACUAGUGGCCCGCGCGCCAGAUCCGGCCCGUUUAUGAAUUUAAACCCUGAACAUUAAUAAAAGAUCUGUAAAAAAAAGAGUUUUAUUUCCACCAAAAUCCGCCGUUCAGUGCCAAAAUGACAAGCCCUAUGGUGGUUGUCUAUAGUCUGGUGCCUAUGUAGAAUGUCAAUGGGUUUUUUCUUCGUCAUAUGGAUUUUGCAGAGUAGCGUUUGAACAGUUUAAGCUUCAAAAUAUGAUGAAAGCUACAACCCUAAGGAACACAUACAUGCCUUCUGUUGCCCUCUCUGAUGCUCACAAAGACUCGUUACAAGUGAGAGACAAACAACGCACCUAAUGACUGAGGGAAAUUCAUUGAAAGCAUCCUUCCUUCAUCCUUCCUUCAUCCUUCCUUCAUCCUUCCUUCAUCCUUCCUUCAUCCUUCCUUCAUCCUUCCUUCCAUCCUUCCUUCCAUCCUUCCUUCAUCCUUCCUUCAUCCUUCCUUCAUCCUUCCUUCAUCCUUCCUUCAUCCUUCCUUCCAUCCUUCCUUCAGACUGGAAUUUGACAUGACCUGAUUUGACAUAUCUUUGUGUUAUUUACUGAGAUGCUUCGUUUUCAGAUGCUUUUAAAAUGACCUAAUUACUUUUAAGAAGCUUUUAAUAGUUAUUUAACUGCUUUAUUGGUGGUUGUGGGUCACUUGUUUUAUACAGUUCUUCGAAAAAUAAUCACAUGUGGAAAAUGUCCAGCCCCCCUGCAAUUAAACCUUUUUUCAUCUGGCCUCUGUAAGAAGAUAGUUGAAUAGCCCUGCUGUACCUUAUAUAGAUACACAUCCAUAUCAUCAGUUCCAUAGGAUGGUAACAGGUGGAUAGAGACAGUUACUGUGGUUCUAUAGCAUGGUAAUAGGUGGAUAGAGACAGUUAAUGUGGUUCUAUAGGAUGGUAACAGGUGGAUAGAGACAGUUAAUGUGGUUCUAUAGGAUGGUAACAGGUGGAUAGAGACAGUUAAUGUGGUUCUAUAGGAUGGUAACAGGUGGAUAGAGACAGUUAAUGUGGUUCUAUAGGAUGGUAACAGGUGGAUAGAGACAGUUAAUGUGGUUCUAUAGGAUGGUAACAGGUGGAUAGAGACAGUUAAUGUGGUUCUAUAGGAUGGUAACAGGUGGAUAGAGACAGUUAAUGUGGUUCUAUAGGAUGGUAACAGGUGGAUAGAGACAGUUAAUGUGGUUCUAUAGGAUGGUAACAGGUGGAUAGAGACAGUUAAUGUGGUUCUAUAGGAUGGUAACAGGUGGAUAGAGACAGUUAAUGUGGUUCUAUAGGAUGGUAACAGGUGGAUAGAGACAGUUAAUGUGGUUCUAUAGGAUGGUAACAGGUGGAUAGAGACAGUUAAUGUGGUUCUAUAGGAUGGUAACAGGUGGAUAGAGACAGUUAAUGUGGUUCUAUAGGAUGGUAACAGGAGGAUAAAGACAGUUAAUGUGGUUCUAUAGGAUGGUAACAGGAGGAUAGAGACAGUUAAUGUGGUUCUAUAGGAUGGUAACAGGUGGAUAGAGACAGUUAAUGUGGUUCUAUAGGAUGGUAACAGGAGGAUAAAGACAGUUAAUGUGGUUCUAUAGGAUGGUAACAGGAGGAUAGAGACAGUUAAUGUGGUUCUAUAGGAUGGUAACAGGAGGAUAAAGACAGUUAAUGUGGUUCUAUAGGAUGGUAACAGGUGGAUAGAGACAGUUAAUGUGGUUCUAUAGGAUGGUAACAGGUGGAUAGAGACAGUUAAUGUGGUUCUAUAGGAUGGUAACAGGAGGAUAGAGACAGUUAAUGUGGUUCUAUAGGAUGGUAACAGGAGGAUAAAGACAGUUAAUGUGGUUCUAUAGGAUGGUAACAGGAGGAUAGAGACAGUUAAUGUGGUUCUAUAGGAUGGUAACAGGUGGAUAGAGACAGUUAAUGUGGUUCUAUAGGAUGGUAACAGGUGGAUAGAGACAGUUAAUGUGGUUCUAUAGGAUGGUAACAGGUGGAUAGAGACAGUUAAUGUGGUUCUAUAGGAUGGUAACAGGUGGAUAGAGACAGUUAAUGUGGUUCUAUAGGAUGGUAACAGGUGGAUAGAGACAGUUAAUGUGGUUCUAUAGGAUGGUAACAGGUGGAUAGAGACAGUUAAUGUGGUUCUAUAGGAUGGUAACAGGUGGAUAGAGACAGUUAAUGUGGUUCUAUAGGAUGGUAACAGGUGGAUAGAGACAGUUAAUGUGGUUCUAUAGGAUGGUAACAGGUGGAUAGAGACAGUUAAUGUGGUUCUAUAGGAUGGUAACAGGAGGAUAGAGACAGUUAAUGUGGUUCUAUAGGAUGGUAAUAGGUGGAUAGAGACAGUUAAUAUGGUUCUAUAGGAUGGUAAUAGGUGGAUAGAGACAGUUAAUGUGGUUCUAUAGGAUGGUAACAGGAGGAUAGAGACAGUUAAUGUGGUUCUAUAGGAUGGUAACAGGAGGAUAGAGACAGUUAAUGUGGUUCUAUAGGAUGGUAACAGGAGGAUAGAGACAGUUAAUGUGGUUCUAUAGGAUGGUAACAGGUGGAUAGAGACAGUUAAUGUGGUUCUAUAGGAUGGUAACAGGUGGAUAGAGACAGUUAAUGUGGUUCUAUAGGAUGGUAACAGGUGGAUAGAGACAGUUAAUGUGGUUCUAUAGGAUGGUAACAGGUGGAUAGAGACAGUUAAUGUGGUUCUAUAGGAUGGUAACAGGUGGAUAGAGACAGUUAAUGUGGUUCUAUAGGAUGGUAACAGGUGGAUAGAGACAGUUAAUGUGGUUCUAUAGGAUGGUAACAGGUGGAUAGAGACAGUUAAUGUGGUUCUAUAUGAUGGUAACAGAUGAUAGACAGUUAAUGUGGUUCUAUAGGAUGGUAACAGGUGGAUAGAGACAGUUAAUGUGGUUCUAUAGGAUGGUAACAGGUGGAUAGAGACAGUUAAUGUGGUUCUAUAGGAUGGUAACAGGAGGAUAGAGACAGUUAAUGUGGUUCUAUAGGAUGGUAACAGGUGGAUAGAGACAGUUACUGUGGUUCUAUAGGAUGGUAACAGGUGGAUAGAGACAGUUAAUGUGGUUCUAUAGGAUGGUAACAGAUGAUAGACAGUUAAUGUGGUUCUAUAGGAUGGUAACAGGUGGAUAGAGACAGUUAAUGUGGUUCUAUAGGAUGGUAACAGGAGGAUAGAGACAGUUAAUGUGGUUCUAUAGGAUGGUAACAGGUGGAUAGAGACAGUUAAUGUGGUUCUAUAUGAUGGUAACAGAUGAUAGACAGUUAAUGUGGUUCUAUAGGAUGGUAACAGAUGAUAGACAGUUAAUGUGGUUCUAUAGGAUGGUAACAGGUGGAUAGAGACAGUUAAUGUGGUUCUAUAGGAUGGUAACAGGUGGAUAGAGACAGUUAAUGUGGUUCUAUAUGAUGGUAAUAGAUGAUAGACAGUUAAUGUGGUUCUAUAGGAUGGUAACAGGUGGAUAGAGACAGUUACUGUGGUUCUAUAGGAUGGUAACAGGAGGAUAGAGACAGUUAAUGUGGUUCUAUAGGAUGGUAACAGGUGGAUAGAGACAGUUAAUGUGGUUCUAUAGGAUGGUAACAGGUGGAUAGAGACAGUUAAUGUGGUUCUAUAGGAUGGUAACAGGUGGAUAGAGACAGUUAAUGUGGUUCUAUAGGAUGGUAACAGGAGGAUAGAGACAGUUAAUGUGGUUCUAUAGGAGGGUAACAGAUGAUAGACAGUUAAUGUGGUUCUAUAGGAUGGUAACAGGUGGAUAGAGACAGUUAAUGUGGUUCUAUAGGAUGGUAACAGGAGGAUAGAGACAGUUAAUGUGGUUCUAUAGGAUGGUAACAGGUGGAUAGAGACAGUUAAUGUGGUUCUAUAGACAUUUACAUUUUACAUUUAAGUCAUUUAGCAGACGCUCUUAUCCAGAGCGACUUACAAUUCUAAAUUCCAUGCAUGACUUAUUCAAUUGGAAUUCAUCAGAUACUGUAUGUAAUAUAAAUCCAUCAAUGUUUUUCUUCUUCUUUUAUUAGGUAUGCACAGACCCCCAAAACUCAAAUGGAUUGAUUGCCUUUCAAUCUCAACACAGCUGGUGUUUCAUCUCUCUUGCCAUCUGACAUAGAGCACAGGGCCCACAGAACAUGUACACUGCCCAGUCAUCAAUUAAGCUGCCCGGGAUGUUGUAUCUCUCUCUCAUUGAUGUGCGCAUCAUCAUCAUAGUUGUUGGCAGCAGGGGGAGACAGAAGCAUUCACCAUACCUCUCAGCCAUCUGACAGGCUAGGCACAUUGAACAGAAGGUACCACACAAACAGACUCUCCUAUCAAUGCAACAGUCCAGAAUCCUUGAGUUCCACUUUGCCGGAGUAUUGGGUUGACUCAUUACUGCUCUAUCACAUACUCCAUAUCCAGAUUUGCAGGCGUAAGCACUCACUCAACAGGCUUGGACUCAACAAAUAUAUAUAUAUAGGAUGG
Long non-coding RNA from Oncorhynchus keta (chum salmon), 5165 nucleotides. RefSeq lists it as uncharacterized. The record is from RefSeq and is a predicted model, not a curated record. The transcript is spliced from 10 exons. NCBI's taxonomy places the organism in Eukaryota, Metazoa, Chordata, Actinopteri, Salmoniformes, Salmonidae.